UGGGCAGGACAGGCAGUUGCGUUGACUUUUAGAGUCGAUGAGGAAAGUCCGGGCUCCACAGAGCAAGGGUGCCGGAUAACGUCCGGCGCAGGCAACUGUAGGGAAAGUGCAACAGAAACACACCGCCGAAACAGGUAAUGCUGUGGCAAGGGUGAAAUGGUGCGGUAAGAGCGCACCGGGUGUCCGGAGACGGACAUGCCGUGUAAACCCCACCCGGAGCAAGACCAAAUAGAGCCUAAAAAAGUGGUUGCUCGCCGCCGGCUCGAAAGGUAGGUCGCAUGAGCAUAUCAGUAAUGAUAUGCCAAGAUAGAUGAUUGCCAUAUACAGAACCCGGCUUACGGACUGCCCAAUCU
This 353-nucleotide RNase P RNA is filed under the name Clostridiales bacterium. Its description in RNAcentral is "RNase P RNA component class A". It matches the Rfam family "Bacterial RNase P class A". From Rfam's summary of the family: Ribonuclease P (RNase P) is a ubiquitous endoribonuclease, found in archaea, bacteria and eukarya as well as chloroplasts and mitochondria. Its best characterised activity is the generation of mature 5'-ends of tRNAs by cleaving the 5'-leader elements of precursor-tRNAs. RNAcentral also lists the same sequence under 1 other name. The record is from RNAcentral. Lineage: Bacteria; Bacillati; Bacillota; Clostridia; Eubacteriales.